Acanthosepion pharaonis is the source of this 114-nucleotide non-coding RNA. Lineage: Eukaryota; Metazoa; Mollusca; Cephalopoda; Sepiida; Sepiidae. The record is from the annotation of a GenBank genome assembly.
UUACGGUCAAAUCACGCUGAAACACCGGUUCUCGUUCGAUCACCGAAGUUAAGCAUCGUAGAGCCAGGUCAGUACUUAGAUGAGGGACCGCUUGGGAACACCUGGUACUGUAAG